This 305-nucleotide ribosomal RNA is filed under the name uncultured bacterium. Its description in RNAcentral is "bacterial SSU rRNA". It matches the Rfam family "Bacterial small subunit ribosomal RNA", at positions 336 to 638 of the family's 1533-position model. The record is from RNAcentral.
UUCCUACGGGACGCAGCAGUGAGGAAUAUUGGUCAAUGGCCGGAAGGCUGAACCAGCCAAGUCGCGUGAGGGAAUAAGGCCCUAUGGGUCGUAAACCUCUUUUGUCAGGGAGCAAAGGCGUCCACGUGUGGACGAGAGGAGAGUACCUGAAGAAAAAGCAUCGGCUAACUCCGUGCCAGCAGCCGCGGUAAUACGGAGGAUGCGAGCGUUAUCCGGAUUUAUUGGGUUUAAAGGGUGCGUAGGCGGUCCGGAAAGUCAGCGGUAAAAGCCCGGGGCUCAACCCCGGCGAGCCGUUGAAACUGUCG